ACAGACUGAUUGCAGUGCUUAAGCUCUCAAAGUCUGGUGAACUACCAAAACAAUCCAACGAUGCUUAAAACAAGGUAAAACAAGAGGAGGCCACUGAUAUGCUCAACCUAUCCUCCUCUCCUACUUGAAAAGAUUAGGGCGGGAAGCCUUGUAGGUAGUCUUCAACUUUCUGGAAGGGGGCCUGACUUUCUUGAAGACGAGAGGGAACUUGAUUUUUGAGUCAUGGAAUUGCUUGGUGCUUUCACGCUUACACAGCUUGGAAGGUAUGGUGGCUGUCUUGAUGAUCUGGAUGCAGUGCUGCCUGACUCUGUGGCGGGAUGCCAUCUCAUUGUACAUCUGCUCCACGGCACCGUUCAGAGUGGUGUCCCUGUACUCCUUGUACAUGUUGUGGUAACCUGUUCUGCUCUGGUACCGCAGCCAGACACCGUAGUUCUUGAUCUUUGUUGGUUUCCUCUCAAAUAUCUGAAACAGCAUAAAAUUAGCUCCAGCACAACAUUGCAUCAUUAGUAGGCAAUGCUGUCUUAAGCAGAAACUUUUG
RNAcentral lists this long non-coding RNA (538 nucleotides) under Musa acuminata (dwarf banana). Its description in RNAcentral is "long non-coding RNA (MACU_LNC000284)". The record is from RNAcentral. Lineage: Eukaryota; Viridiplantae; Streptophyta; Magnoliopsida; Zingiberales; Musaceae.